RNAcentral lists this ribosomal RNA (696 nucleotides) under Micromonospora sp. EGI80158. RNAcentral describes it as "bacterial SSU rRNA". It matches the Rfam family "Bacterial small subunit ribosomal RNA", at positions 110 to 821 of the family's 1533-position model. Lineage: Bacteria; Bacillati; Actinomycetota; Actinomycetes; Micromonosporales; Micromonosporaceae. The record is from RNAcentral.
GUAACACGUGAGCAACCUGCCCUAGGCUUUGGGAUAACCCCGGGAAACCGGGGCUAAUACCGAAUAGGACCACCGGUCGCAUGGUUGGUGGUGGAAAGUUUUUCGGCCUGGGAUGGGCUCGCGGCCUAUCAGCUUGUUGGUGGGGUGAUGGCCUACCAAGGCGACGACGGGUAGCCGGCCUGAGAGGGCGACCGGCCACACUGGGACUGAGACACGGCCCAGACUCCUACGGGAGGCAGCAGUGGGGAAUAUUGCACAAUGGGCGGAAGCCUGAUGCAGCGACGCCGCGUGAGGGAUGACGGCCUUCGGGUUGUAAACCUCUUUCAGCAGGGACGAAGCGUAAGUGACGGUACCUGCAGAAGAAGCGCCGGCCAACUACGUGCCAGCAGCCGCGGUAAGACGUAGGGCGCGAGCGUUGUCCGGAUUUAUUGGGCGUAAAGAGCUCGUAGGCGGCUUGUCGCGUCGACUGUGAAAACCCGCAGCUCAACUGCGGGCCUGCAGUCGAUACGGGCAGGCUAGAGUUCGGUAGGGGAGACUGGAAUUCCUGGUGUAGCGGUGAAAUGCGCAGAUAUCAGGAGGAACACCGGUGGCGAAGGCGGGUCUCUGGGCCGAUACUGACGCUGAGGAGCGAAAGCGUGGGGAGCGAACAGGAUUAGAUACCCUGGUAGUCCACGCUGUAAACGUUGGGCGCUAGGU